This is a long non-coding RNA of Paramisgurnus dabryanus, 3867 nucleotides long. RefSeq lists it as uncharacterized. Lineage: Eukaryota; Metazoa; Chordata; Actinopteri; Cypriniformes; Cobitidae. The record is from RefSeq and is a predicted model, not a curated record.
CUGAUUGGGAAUUUUGGGCAUUUUAGCAAAGGGGUCGGCAACAGGCGAUAUUUUCUGGCCCGCCGAAUUAUUUUGGAAGUAUGUUUUUUUAUCAGACUAUUUUUAUUUUACAAUAACAGUUUACAAAUAUGGCUCCUAUCAUUCCUUCAUUCGUUUUUUCAAAUUUAAACCAAAAAGAAAAUAAAGAAAAACGACUUGUUUUUCUAUCAUUUAUUUUCUGAACUAAAAUGAAAAAAACAAAUAGGCCUAACGACUCGUUUUCCGAGUUUCUGAUUGUGCGCUCAGAUCAAAAAUAGAAAAAAUGAAUGAAACGGUUUAAGACAAAUUUUUAUUUAACACCUUAGCAGACAUAUAACAAUGAAAUAAUUUUAAACAGAUCGAGACACCCCUCGCUGCAGCCUGCAGCGCGAUGACGUGGUGGAUUAAUCCAAUACGUAGUGGAUGUUCAAACACGCAUGCGCAGUGAAUAUAAUGUUACGGGCAUGCGCGGUGGUGUGUUGUUGUUAGUGAACAAUCGCACGUGCUUUGGUAUUUCAAGAAGAAUCUGCCGGAAAACGAUGGAUUAUUUAACAACAGUGAUUGUAUAAAGGUAGGUAAUUAAUCUUUAUUUACUGAUUUUUUGUUUCAACAUGUAUAGUCUUGUGUAACGUUAGUGUUAGGUGUCCGAAACGGUAUAAAGGUGGCUUAAUAUGCUCACAGCGAUUCUCAUUUAAAUCUUAUAACAUUACUUCAGAACAUAUAUGCCAACCGUGGACAGACUGCAGGUCUAAUGUAAAACUAAUUUGAUUUUGCUAGGCUAACUAAUGUUUUUUUUGCUAUUGCAUUGUUCUAGAUGAAUGUCUAUUAAAAGGACAUUUGUCCAGCAAUUUCAAGGUGCACAUACUGUAACCAUCACUUAAUCUUAAAUGAAUACAUCUGGAUUGUAUUUUUUAUAAAAGAGACUUAGUACUUGUAUGUUAACAAUCCUUUGCAUUUUUAUUUGAAAAGGUCAACUUAAUGAGAUUUUUUUUUGUAAAUUUGACUGGAUUUGGCAAGAUGCCCUUGCUCAUUAAAGAAGAUGGAGAUGUGACUUUCCUCAGACUGUCUCUGACAUGCCAGCUUUUUCACCAUGUUGUUAGUCAAGCAUCUUUCAGAGAAAAGGCUCAUGUUGUCUGGCUUGACAGUGUUGUCAACUGGAACACAUUCUCCGUGGUGUAGAGAUUUAUUUACAGACUGUCCACCUGGUCGAGUUGGAGGAAGGGUGUCCCAGGGACGAAUUGUUCAUCUAUUCUGCAUCAGUAAAGCAGUGGUGGCGUGGCACUGACCUUAAACUAUUUAAGAUCAAACUGUGACAAAAGCUUUACCUGACCUGACUGCAGUCAGUUAUAUCCCACCAAACAUGAGACGUCCGCUCGACGUGCAGAUCAUGUCUAUAUUAGGUCGGUUGGUCCAGGCCCUUAUCUGUACGUCUAUACAACGUGCAGAUCUGGUACAGUAUCUGGACGUCUGAAUAUGACCCCUCUUGGACGUCAGGUAGACGUCCAAAAGGGGUUCGGGAAAUCAAAAAAAAAUAUUUUAUACAAAUGUGGUCUAUGAGUUCUGAGUCAAAAAACAUAAACAUCACGUGUAUUUUUGUAGAAUAUUUUGUUAAGCUGUUAAAACAAUGUUAUCUUUAUAUAUGAAUGAGUGUUCAAAAACAUAGCACUGCUCAUGGAUAAAGUUCCACCUUAAAUGCUGUCUCUCUCUCUCUCUCUCUCUCUCUCUCUCUCUCUCUCUCUCUCUCUCUCUCUCUUUCUCUCUUUAUAAUUAACAAAGAUGUAUAUGCUGACGUUUUAUUGAUAAUCUUUUGUCACCAUAAUGACGAUCAGUGAUUCCUUUAGUUGGGUAGUUUGACUCCUUGACUUUUUAUUAGUUUUUGGUCUUUAUGAGAGUGUUUGCUAAAGCAUGUAAUUUGUUGCAAAGAAAUUUUGUUAUAAACAAAACUCACAUGUGGAUCUUACAACUUCACUGAAUGUUUAUCAACAGUAAUUUCACAUAUGUACAGUCUGUAAAGUAAUUUUGUAAACCAUGUAGUAUUGUCUCAAUGUCUCAGUUGCUUUGAGGUGUCACACCCAACUUAUUAUUUAGGUUCAUACCACCACUGGGAGGUGCUCAUAUAAAAUUAAAAGUCCAGAUAUUGUUCUCACGUAUUCAGACAUCAAGAAUGACCUCAUGAAUCACAACAGUGGUGACACUCUCUGGACUCAUGAGUUCUUAUAAUACGCUGGUGCAAUGCAUUGCAACAUUUACAAAACUCACCAUCGUUGUGAUUCAUUGGCUGAUUCUUGAUGUCUGCAUUUGUGUCAAAAAAUUCUAGACUUUACAUUUUUUAUUACAGCCAUGAGGUUUCAUUUUCCGUUACAGUAGGCAGCAGUAUGCAUCGAAGUACGUUUAUUGCAGUUCCAAACAAAACAUUGAUAGAAGUUUACUUUUAAACUAAAUUUAUCAUGUUUUAUCUGUAUUGUUAGUUCAAUUAUACUAUACCACCACUUCUGACCAUCAAUGUAAUUAAUGGAAAGCCACAAGUAUUGGUAACAAACACUUAGUGCAAUAAUAAUGUGUUUUAAAAAACACCAUCAUCAAGCGCACACAAUUCAACCUAAAAACAAAGAGUCAAACUACCCAACUAAAGGAAACACUGAUCACCAUGAGGGUGACAAAACAUGUUCAAUAAAACAUCAGAAUCUUGUAAAUUCUCAAAAACGAGCCGUAGAAAUGACAAAAAAUAAGGUAACUUUGGUUUGUUUAGUGAGUAUGGUCCUACUUCAAAACAAUGCUUUGUUAAAACAACUUUUUGUAAUGGUGAUGACAUUGUUUUAGAGAAUGUACAUGUAACAAUUAUCCAGCGAGAGCAAGCGUGGGAGGAAGAGUGAAGUUCACGUCACUUCACUUCAAUUAUUAAACGAGAGAGAGAGAGAGAGAGAGAGAGAGAGAGAGAGAGAGAGAGAGUGAGAGUGAGAGAGAGAGCAAGAUUGCAGACGCAGAUAGUUAAGGUGGAACUGGUGUAUUUGGGAAUUAUCUAUAAGCAAUAUUUUUUUACAUUUAUUCAUAUAUAAAGAUUAUAUAUACACAUAUAAUGCCUAAAAUAGCCACAUUUUAAAUAGUUUUACUUUGCGUGGAGGUCCCCUUGACAUCAAUAUUGGAUGUUCAGAACACGUCAAAAAAAGACGUCAUAAAACCUUUCAUUCUGGCUCUUCAUGGGACGUCGAAAUGACGUCUUUUUAAGACGCAUUGCUCAGUGGGAUGUGACCCUGCCUGUGAAAAAACAGGAUAAGUCUUGAAAUGUAAUUAUAAUAUAAUGAGCAUCAAAGUGUUAUUUUCAUUAAUCUCACAUUGAUUUUGAUAUUUGACAUGAUUUUACUCAGUCAACCCCACACACCCAGACAACACUUUCUUUGAACUUUUGCCCUUUGGCGCUACAGAGCGCUGAAUACUAGACACAACAACAGUUUGUUCCUCAGGCUAAAACCUAAACAAUUAAAACACCCAUAACUUCCACACCUGUCAUAACUGUAUAUUGUUUAUAAUCACCACAUACUGUACAUCUGUAAAUACUAUUCUAAACUGUAAAUAUCACCUAUUAUCUAUCUGUACAAUUACAGCAUCUGAACAUCCAUACAUGCAUCACUACACACAAUUGUAAAAAAAAGGAGAAAAUAUAUAUACAUAUACUUACUGUACCAUACUGCUUAUUUAAAUUAUUUUUGUUUUUAUAUGACUAGUGUGUUAUUGUCUUUAGUGAUUUUACUUAGUUAUUCUAUGUAUGUCCGUAACAUGUCACCAAGAGAAAUUCCUUGUAUGUGACAAAAACAUACUUGGCAAUAAAGCAGAUUCUGAUUCAAUAUUAAA